UACGGAGGGGGCUAGCGUUGUUCGGAAUUACUGGGCGUAAAGCGCACGUAGGCGGCUUUGCAAGUUAGAGGUGAAAGCCCGGGGCUCAACUCCGGAAUUGCCUUUAAAACUGCAUCGCUAGAAUUGCGGAGAGGUGAGUGGAAUUCCGAGUGUAGAGGUGAAAUUCGUAGAUAUUCGGAAGAACACCAGUGGCGAAGGCGACUCACUGGACACGUAUUGACGCUGAGGUGCGAAAGCGUGGGGAGCAAACAGG
This 253-nucleotide ribosomal RNA is filed under the name uncultured bacterium. Its description in RNAcentral is "partial 16S ribosomal RNA". It matches the Rfam family "Bacterial small subunit ribosomal RNA", at positions 524 to 776 of the family's 1533-position model. The record is from RNAcentral.